GGCAGAUCCAUUUUCUGCCACCGAAUACAUUAGCAUGGGAUAAUGGAAUAGGACCCUGUCCUCCUAUUUUCAGUUGGUUUUGGCAGCGCGAGGACUAGGGUAAUGAUUAAUAGGGAUAGUUGGGGGCAUUAAUAUUUAAUUGUCAGAGGUGAAAUUCUUGGAUUUAUGAAAGAUUAACUUCUGCGAAAGCAUCUGCCAAGGAUGUUUUCAUUAAUCAAGAACGAAAGUUAGGGGAUCGAAGACGAUCAGAUACCGUCGUAGUCUUAACCAUAAACGAUGCCGACCAGCGAUUAGGAGACGUUGAAUACAAAACACCACCAUCGGCGCGGUCGUCCUUGGCGUCUCGGUCCUUCACGGGGCCGGGGCGCGGGGGCGGCUUAGCCCGGUGGCACCGGUGAAUGACUCCCCUAGCAGCUUGUGAAAA
This 424-nucleotide ribosomal RNA is filed under the name Acanthamoeba sp. P86-IDP-C11. RNAcentral describes it as "SSU rRNA". It matches the Rfam family "Eukaryotic small subunit ribosomal RNA", at positions 779 to 1096 of the family's 1831-position model. Lineage: Eukaryota; Discosea; Longamoebia; Acanthamoebidae. The record is from RNAcentral.